UGAUGCAAUGGAAUCAAUAUUAAUACACUAGAUCCCAUCAGAACUCUACAGCUAAACGUGCUUGAGCGAUAGUAGUACUGGGAUGAUGACCUCUUGGGAAGUCCUCGUGUUGUAACUCUUUAGAGAAGGGGGUGAACCUUAGCGC
Molecule: non-coding RNA, 145 nt
Organism: Lupinus albus (white lupine)
Lineage: Eukaryota; Viridiplantae; Streptophyta; Magnoliopsida; Fabales; Fabaceae
Source: the annotation of a GenBank genome assembly